CAUAGGUAGUGGCUUGGUUAAAGGAACCCACCAGAGCCGUAGCAAGAGCAACUGUUCAUAGGGCAAUUGUCACUGCUUAUGGACCUGAACCUGGGUGAUCUAUAUGGCUAGGAUGAAGCUUGGGUGAAACUAAGUGGAGGUCUGAAUCGACUGAUGUUGAAGAAUCAGCAGAUGAGUUGUGGUUAUGGGUGAAAUGCCAAUCGAACCCAAAGCUAGCUAG
Molecule: non-coding RNA, 220 nt
Filed under: Gossypium hirsutum (cotton)
Lineage: Eukaryota; Viridiplantae; Streptophyta; Magnoliopsida; Malvales; Malvaceae
Description: Bacterial large subunit ribosomal RNA
Rfam family: Bacterial large subunit ribosomal RNA
Source: Rfam by way of RNAcentral